UGGGGAAUUUUGGACAAUGGGCGAAAGCCUGAUCCAGCAAUGCCGCGUGUGUGAUGAAGGCCUUCGGGUUGUAAAGCACUUUUGGCAGGAAAGAAACGUCGCGGGUUAAUACCCCGCGGAACUGACGGUACCUGCAGAAUAAGCACCGGCUAACUACGUGCCAGCAGCCGCGGUAAUACGUAGGGUGCAAGCGUUAAUCGGAAUUACUGGGCGUAAAGCGUGCGCAGGCGGUUCGGAAAGAAAGAUGUGAAAUCCCAGAGCUUAACUUUGGAACUGCAUUUUUAACUACCGGGCUAGAGUGUGUCAGAGGGAGGUGGAAUUCCGCGUGUAGCAGUGAAAUGCGUAGAUAUGCGGAGGAACACCGAUGGCGAAGGCAGCCUCCUGGGAUAACACUGACGCUCAUGCACGAAAGCGUGGGGAGCAAACAGGAUUAGAUACCCUGGUAGUCCACGCCCUAAACGAUGUCAACUAGCUGUUGGGGUUUAUUAACCUUAGUAGCGCAGCUAACGCGUGAAGUUGACCGCCUGGGGAGUACGGUCGCAAGAUUAAAACUUAAAUGAAUU
This 563-nucleotide ribosomal RNA is filed under the name uncultured bacterium. Its description in RNAcentral is "partial 16S ribosomal RNA". It matches the Rfam family "Bacterial small subunit ribosomal RNA", at positions 355 to 911 of the family's 1533-position model. The record is from RNAcentral.